GCGCUUGUAGCUCAGAUGGACAGAGCUUCCGCCUCCGGAGCGGACGGUCACCGGUUCGAAUCCGGUCGAGCGCA
RNAcentral lists this transfer RNA (74 nucleotides) under Microbacterium maritypicum MF109. It matches the Rfam family "tRNA". From Rfam's summary of the family: Transfer RNA (tRNA) molecules are approximately 80 nucleotides in length. RNAcentral also lists the same sequence under 1 other name. The record is from Rfam by way of RNAcentral. Lineage: Bacteria; Bacillati; Actinomycetota; Actinomycetes; Micrococcales; Microbacteriaceae.